UCAUCUCUUGCAUCUGUCACAUUGCAUAAAAGCCAAACCACUAUUCGAGUAGCUAGCUAGUCUUCCAGUGUACUGUAAAAGCUUGGAGAUUCCGUGAGAGUUUGUGCAAGUUGCAAGAUGGUUAAGGUAUGUUCAGUUUGGUUGUCCUGUUCCAGUCCAGGACUGGUGCUCAGUUUGCUCAAUUUUGUGCGUCGUUGUGAAAAAAGAAUUCAUGUUUUGUUGCAGCAAAAGAUUGCCCUCAGUUUGCUCAAUUUUGUGCGUCGUUGUGAAAAAACAAUUCAUGUUUUGUUGCAGCAAAAGAUUGCCCUCAAGUUGGCUUUGGAUGAUGAGAGGGAGAGGAGGAAGGCCUUCAAGGCUGCCGUUGGCAUGUCAGGUAUGAUAUGAACAAGCCACAGAUUUAUUAACAUUUAAUCAGUUAAUCCAUAAUCCGUAGUUCCAUCUUUUUCUUGUUCUUACGAGGAGGUGCUCAAUUCUANNN
This 478-nucleotide long non-coding RNA is filed under the name Hordeum vulgare. RNAcentral describes it as "long non-coding RNA (HVUL_LNC021097)". The record is from RNAcentral. Lineage: Eukaryota; Viridiplantae; Streptophyta; Magnoliopsida; Poales; Poaceae.